CUCACUCAUCAUCAAAGAUUAAUUAUUCACACACGUUUGUUAAAUUUAUUUUGUUCGGGUCAUUUUUCAAUAAUAUAUUUUUUCGAUAUUCAACACGGCGGAGGAUUGGCUCGAAGUGCAAGCGAGAUUUUGGAAUCUUGACUUUUUUUAAAUGCAUAUCGUUAGUCGAACGUUUUUCGGUGUUUGUCGGAUCAAAAUUGACGUCUGUCGGAAAUUAGUUAAUUAGAAAAAUCAAAAAGAAAAAUCUGUGGAAAAAUAAACGUAAACCAAUGAAUGCAAAAUCGCAAAGACUUUUUAGUUCUAAACUGUUUGUUCAUUAUCAAACUUUACGAGUUUGUACAGGAUAACCACACUUUUCUUAAUCUCAUGAUUUACAGCUAAAUAUUACAGAAAAAAAAAGAAAUGAAUAAUGCGAGGCUGCCUUUCAAAUUUUUUGAGUAACAAUAUUUUGGAAGAUUCGUCGUUCCAUGGGAAAUAAACACUUUCUGUCAUGAGAGCAAAAAAAAAAAAUUACGCUUCGCGAUUUUCAUAAAAAAAGCAAGAAAAUAUCGAAAAUUGGCUUAAGCACUUUCUACAAAUUUUUUCAUAAAUUUGAAAUUUUCGUUAUAAAUUUCUUUUUUUUGAUGAACCACAGAUUUCCAAUGGAGUACCGAGAAAAAAAUAUCGAAUUUAUUUUAAUCACCGUAAGAUGGAUCUUGCGUUGCAAUAGUUGAGCACACGAAGCAUGCCUCUAUGAAAAGCCUGAGGGUUCAGCUCCUAUUGCAAAGCAGCGAAUCGUUGAUUUGAGGUCGGAUUCAACGCCGAUAAUGGAAGCAGUAGCGACGAACGAACACCUUAUUCUUUUAACGAUAACAAAACUGUAGAACUUUGUUAUUGCUCCUUGAUAAAUCAUCGUUUAUUUAUACUUUAAUACAAUUCGCCCCCAUAAAAUGUAGUAUAUAAACAA
Molecule: long non-coding RNA, 946 nt
Organism: Venturia canescens
Lineage: Eukaryota; Metazoa; Arthropoda; Insecta; Hymenoptera; Ichneumonidae
Exons: 2
Source: RefSeq, a predicted model, not a curated record